Molecule: non-coding RNA, 79 nt
Organism: Gopherus flavomarginatus (Mexican gopher tortoise)
Lineage: Eukaryota; Metazoa; Chordata; Testudines; Testudinidae
Source: the annotation of a RefSeq genome assembly
GGUUCUGUAGUGUAGUGGUUAUCACGUUCGCCUCACACGCGAAAGGUCCCUGGUUCGAAACACAGGCAGAAAACAGCCU